RNAcentral lists this ribosomal RNA (1324 nucleotides) under Artena dotata. Its description in RNAcentral is "16S ribosomal RNA". Lineage: Eukaryota; Metazoa; Arthropoda; Insecta; Lepidoptera; Erebidae. The record is from RNAcentral.
AGAAUUUUUAAUAAAAAAAAAAUAAAUAUUUUAAUGGGGGUUAGAGUAUUUAUAAAGAAAUAAUUAAAAAUUUUAUAGGGGAUUAGUAUUGUAAAAGAAUUUUGAAAUAGUUGAAAUAAGAAAUUAAUUUAAAGUAAUUUUUAUUUAAUGUAUCUUGUGUAUCAGAGUUUAUUAAAAAAAAUAUUGUGAUAAAAAUAAUUCUCGAAUUUGAGAGAGAUAAUUAAUUAAUAAAGUUAUUGUUAUAUAAAUAUUUUAAAUAAUUAAUUGGAAAUGAAAUGUUAAAUCGUUCUCAAAUAUAUCUAGUUUUUUUAGAAAAAAAUUUAAUUUUAAAUUUAAAAAUUUAUUAAUUAAUUAAUUAAUUAAUAAAAAUUAUUUUAAAUUUUAUAAUUUAAGGGAUAAUCUUUAAUUUAAAUAAAUAUAAUAAAAAUUAAAAAAGUAUUUGAAAAUUAUAUGAUUUAAAUUAUUAAUAAAUUUUAAUUUAUUAUAAAUAAUUUCAUUUUAAAAUAAAAUUUAAUAUAAAAAUUUAUUUUUUUAUAAAAAAAUAAUUUAUAAUAAUUUAUAAUUAGAUAUAAUGAUAAAAUUAGUAUAUAAUUAAUUAAUAAUAGAAUUUAUUAUUAAGUAAAUUAAUUAAAAGGAAUUCGGCAAAAUUUUAUGUUCACUUGUUUAACAAAAACAUGUCUUUUUGAAAAUAAUAUAAAGUCUAAUCUGCCCACUGAUUUUUAUAAUUGAAGGGCUGCAGUAUUUUGACUGUACAAAGGUAGCAUAAUCAUUAGUCAUUUAAUUGAUGACUUGUAUGAAAGAUUGGAUGAAAUAUAGACUGUCUCUUAAUUAAAUUAUAGAAUUUAAUUUUUUAGUUAAAAAGCUAAAAUAAAUUAAAAAGACGAGAAGACCCUAUAGAGUUUUAUAAUUAAAUUUAAUUUAAAUUAUUUAUAAAAUUAAAAAUUUAAAUUUAAUUAAUUAUUUUAUUGGGGUGAUAGAAAAAUAAAAAAAACUUUUUUUAUAUUUAAUACAUAAAUAAGUGAAAAAUUGAUCCAGUUUUAUUGAUUAUAAGAAAAAAUUACCUUAGGGAUAACAGCGUAAUUUUUUUUUUUAGUUCAAAUAAAAAAAAGAGUUUGCGACCUCGAUGUUGGAUUAAGAUAAAAUUUAGAUGCAGAAGUUUAAAAUUUUGAUCUGUUCGAUCAUUAAAAUCUUACAUGAUCUGAGUUCAAACCGGUGUAAGCCAGGUUGGUUUCUAUCUUUUGAAAAAUAAAAUAUUUUAGUACGAAAGGAUUAAAUAUUUAAAUUAAAUUUAUUUAAGAGAAUUUUAUUAAUUUAUUUUAAAAUU